UGCAAGUCGAGCGAAUGGAUUGAGAGCUUGCUCUCAAGAAGUUAGCGGCGGACGGGUGAGUAACACGUGGGUAACCUGCCCAUAAGACUGGGAUAACUCCGGGAAACCGGGGCUAAUACCGGAUAACAUUUUGAACUGCAUGGUUCGAAAUUGAAAGGCGGCUUCGGCUGUCACUUAUGGAUGGACCCGCGUCGCAUUAGCUAGUUGGUGAGGUAACGGCUCACCAAGGCAACGAUGCGUAGCCGACCUGAGAGGGUGAUCGGCCACACUGGGACUGAGACACGGCCCAGACUCCUACGGGAGGCAGCAGUAGGGAAUCUUCCGCAAUGGACGAAAGUCUGACGGAGCAACGCCGCGUGAGUGAUGAAGGCUUUCGGGUCGUAAAACUCUGUUGUUAGGGAAGAACAAGUGCUAGUUGAAUAAGCUGGCACCUUGACGGUACCUAACCAGAAAGCCACGGCUAACUACGUGCCAGCAGCCGCGGUAAUACGUAGGUGGCAAGCGUUAUCCGGAAUUAUUGGGCGUAAAGCGCGCGCAGGUGGUUUCUUAAGUCUGAUGUGAAAGCCCACGGCUCAACCGUGGAGGGUCAUUGGAAACUGGGAGACUUGAGUGCAGAAGAGGAAAGUGGAAUUCCAUGUGUAGCGGUGAAAUGCGUAGAGAUAUGGAGGAACACCAGUGGCGAAGGCGACUUUCUGGUCUGUAACUGACACUGAGGCGCGAAAGCGUGGGGA
Molecule: ribosomal RNA, 731 nt
Filed under: Bacillus thuringiensis
Lineage: Bacteria; Bacillati; Bacillota; Bacilli; Caryophanales; Bacillaceae
Description: bacterial SSU rRNA
Rfam family: Bacterial small subunit ribosomal RNA
Source: RNAcentral